GACCNCAAAUCAGGUAGGAUUACCCCCUGAACUUAAGCAUAUCAAUAAGCGGAGGA
Molecule: ribosomal RNA, 56 nt
Filed under: Pilatoporus cf. ostreiformis 10_R_8_1
Lineage: Eukaryota; Fungi; Basidiomycota; Agaricomycetes; Polyporales; Fomitopsidaceae
Description: Fomitopsis cf. ostreiformis 10_R_8_1 partial 28S ribosomal RNA
Source: RNAcentral